CGACCGGCGCACGGGUGAGUAACACGUAUCCAACCUGCCGUCUACUCUUGGACAGCCUUCUGAAAGGAAGAUUAAUACAAGAUGGCAUCAUGAGUCCGCAUGUUCACAUGAUUAAAGGUAUUCCGGUAGACGAUGGGGAUGCGUUCCAUUAGAUAGUAGGCGGGGUAACGGCCCACCUAGUCUUCGAUGGAUAGGGGUUCUGAGAGGAAGGUCCCCCACAUUGGAACUGAGACACGGUCCAAACUCCUACGGAAGGCAGCAG
This 262-nucleotide ribosomal RNA is filed under the name uncultured bacterium. RNAcentral's name for it is "partial 16S ribosomal RNA". It matches the Rfam family "Bacterial small subunit ribosomal RNA", at positions 92 to 354 of the family's 1533-position model. The record is from RNAcentral.